Molecule: ribosomal RNA, 253 nt
Filed under: uncultured bacterium
Lineage: Bacteria
Description: partial 16S ribosomal RNA
Rfam family: Bacterial small subunit ribosomal RNA
Source: RNAcentral
UACGUAGGGUGCGAGCGUUGUCCGGAAUUACUGGGCGUAAAGAGCUCGUAGGUGGUUUGUCGCGUUGUUCGUGAAAACCUGAGGCUUAACCUUGGGCGUGCGGGCGAUACGGGCAGACUGGAGUACUGCAGGGGAGACUGGAAUUCCUGGUGUAGCGGUGGAAUGCGCAGAUAUCAGGAGGAACACCGGUGGCGAAGGCGGAUCUCUGGGCCUGUCCUGACGCUCAGGCGCGAAAGCUAGGGGAGCAAACAGG